RNAcentral lists this ribosomal RNA (494 nucleotides) under uncultured bacterium. RNAcentral describes it as "bacterial SSU rRNA". It matches the Rfam family "Bacterial small subunit ribosomal RNA", at positions 903 to 1397 of the family's 1533-position model. The record is from RNAcentral.
AAAUGAAUAGACGGGGGCCCGCACAAGCGGAGGAACAUGUGGUUUAAUUCGAUGAUACGCGAGGAACCUUACCCGGGCUUGAAAUGGAGUGGAAUAACCGUGAAAGCGGUUAGCCGGCAACGGCCACUUUGUAGGUGCUGCAUGGUUGUCGUCAGCUCGUGCCGUGAGGUGUCGGCUUAAGUGCCAUAACGAGCGCAACCCUUACCGUUAGUUACCAUCGGGUAAUGCCGGGGACUCUAUCGGGACUGCCACCGUAAGGUGUGAGGAAGGUGGGGAUGACGUCAAAUCAGCACGGCCCUUACGUCCGGGGCGACACACGUGUUACAAUGGGGGGUACAGAGGGUCGCUACACAGCGAUGUGAUGCUAAUCUCUAAAACCUCUCUCAGUUCGGAUCGGAGUCUGCAACUCGACUCCGUGAAGCUGGAUUCGCUAGUAAUCGCGCAUCAGCCAUGGCGCGGUGAAUACGUUCCCGGGCCUUGUACACACCGCCCGU